AGUGGCGGACGGGUGAGUAACGCGUGGGUAACCUGCCUCAUACAGGGGGAUAACAGUUAGAAAUGACUGCUAAUACCGCAUAAGCGCACAGAGCUGCAUGGCUCGGUGUGAAAAACUCCGGUGGUAUAAGAUGGACCCGCGUUGGAUUAGCUAGUUGGUGGGGUAACGGCCCACCAAGGCGACGAUCCGUAGCCGGCCUGAGAGGGUGAACGGCCACAUUGGGACUGAGACACGGCCCAGACUCCUACGGGAGGCAGCAGUGGGGAAUAUUGCACAAUGGGGGAAACCCUGAUGCAGCGACGCCGCGUGAAGGAAGAAGUAUCUCGGUAUGUAAACUUCUAUCAGCAGGGAAGAUAGUGACGGUACCUGACUAAGAAGCCCCGGCUAACUACGUGCCAGCAGCCGCGGUAAUACGUAGGGGGCAAGCGUUAUCCGGAUUUACUGGGUGUAAAGGGAGCGUAGACGGUGUGGCAAGUCUGAUGUGAAAGGCAUGGGCUCAACCUGUGGACUGCAUUGGAAACUGUCAUACUUGAGUGCCGGAGGGGUAAGCGGAAUUCCUAGUGUAGCGGUGAAAUGCGUAGAUAUUAGGAGGAA
Molecule: ribosomal RNA, 594 nt
Filed under: uncultured Lachnospiraceae bacterium
Lineage: Bacteria; Bacillati; Bacillota; Clostridia; Lachnospirales; Lachnospiraceae
Description: bacterial SSU rRNA
Rfam family: Bacterial small subunit ribosomal RNA
Source: RNAcentral